GCAGCGCUGGGCUUUCGUGCUCAGCGAGGAUCCCAAC
Molecule: non-coding RNA, 37 nt
Filed under: Nocardia sp. NRRL S-836
Lineage: Bacteria; Bacillati; Actinomycetota; Actinomycetes; Mycobacteriales; Nocardiaceae
Source: RNAcentral